RNAcentral lists this long non-coding RNA (1246 nucleotides) under Oryctolagus cuniculus (rabbit). RNAcentral's name for it is "lncRNA (ENSOCUG00000035990.1)". Lineage: Eukaryota; Metazoa; Chordata; Mammalia; Lagomorpha; Leporidae. The record is from RNAcentral.
AAACAGUAGAUGAUGGCUCUAGAGGCAUAUGGAAGACCCGAAUUGAAUUCAGGCUCCUGGCUUUGGCCUGACUCUGCCCUGUCAAACAUGUUAUAAAGGAAUAUAGUGAUAGAUUCUAUCAUAUGUAAGUAAAAUUAAUAUUUUAAAGAGCAAGAAGUAGAAGAGAAAAUUAAUUUGAACUUAUUAUACCUAUUCAUAUAGAGACACUAAUAGAUAAAAUGAGCAAAUUGGGAAAAUUGUAACACAUUCAACUUUAACAUAUAUAUAUAUAUUCUUUUGUUGGUUACUGUGUGUCACUUUUAGGAGUACUAUAUGCAAAUAUGGGCAUGAAACAUUGUCUCAAGCAGCUUUUAUUCUAGCGGAGGAGACAGAGGAGUGAACCUGAGUCCCCACUCAAAGCAUUCAUGUCUAUGGCAGGAUGGUUCCACAAGCAUACACCAACAUUUCCAGCAGUAUUGCAUACAUAUUGUUGCCCAGUAGGUAAGUAGGAGGUAUCAGAGAAUGAAGACCAUUCCAGGCAGCUACAGUGGGAUCUGCAAAGUCACAGAUCAUGUAAAAGCAAGACAUGUAAAUUAGUUUCAUGAAUGCAUUCCUCGUACUUAUCACAUGCCUGACACAUAAAACGUAGUAAAUAAAAUUUUUAAUGUUUUCAUUUACUUAUUUGAGAGGCAAAGAUAGAGAAAGCAAGAGAUAGAGAUCUUACAUUUGAUGUUUCAUUCUCCAAAUUCCUGCAACAGUCAGGACUGGGCCAGGCUGAAGUCAGAGGCCUGGGAUUAAAUCCAGAUCACACACAUAGGUGGCACCACCCCAAGUCAUUAAGCCAUCACCUCUGCUUGCCAGGGUACACAUUAGCAGGAAGAUAGAAAAAGGAGCAGAGCCAGGACUCAAACCCAGGAUCUCUGAUGUAUAAUGUGGGCAUCGCAAGCCCCACCUAAGCUGCUGAGCCAAACACCCACUGCUUUAAAGAAUUUGAAUGAAUUUUAGUGAGCAUAAAAUCUGGGUUAUGGGAAAAGACAGGGAGACAGCCAAUGUGGUUGAGAGUGCUGAUGAACUAAUGGAACUCGUACACUUCCAGUGGCAGGUAAGUUGAGCACCUUCAGAAAGGUUUUGGAAAAUAAGCAAAAGCCUUAAAAACAUACAUACUUCCAAUCAAGCAGUUCCUCUGUCCUCUUUAAAGAACUAUUUCUAGGUAAGGAAAAAACUGUCCUGAAAAUGUGUACAAAGAUACCAAUUACCAGAGAAGUAG